This 716-nucleotide ribosomal RNA is filed under the name uncultured Candidatus Pelagibacter sp. Its description in RNAcentral is "bacterial SSU rRNA". It matches the Rfam family "Bacterial small subunit ribosomal RNA", at positions 56 to 818 of the family's 1533-position model. The record is from RNAcentral. Lineage: Bacteria; Pseudomonadati; Pseudomonadota; Alphaproteobacteria; Candidatus Pelagibacterales; Candidatus Pelagibacteraceae.
UGCAGUCGAACGAAGUAGCAAUACUUAGUGGCAAACGGGUGAGUAUAAUGUGGGAAUCUGCCCUUUGGUUUGGAAUAACAUGAGGAAACUUAUGCUAAUACCGGAUAAGUCUUUACAGAGAAAGCUUUAUGCGCCGAAGGAUGAGCCUGCACUUGAUUAGUUAGUUGGUAAGGUAAUGGCUUACCAAGACAAUGAUCAAUAGCUGAUUUGAGAGGAUGAUCAGCCACAUUGGGACUGAGACACGGCCCAAACUCCUACGGGAGGCAGCAGUGGGGAAUAUUGCACAAUGGGAGAAAUCCUGAUGCAGCGAUGCCGCGUGAGUGAAGAAGGCCUUUGGGUUGUAAAGCUCUUUCGUCGGGGAAGAAAAUGACUGUACCCGAAUAAGAAGGUCCGGCUAACUUCGUGCCAGCAGCCGCGGUAAUACGAAGGGACCUAGCGUAGUUCGGAAUUACUGGGCUUAAAGAGCACGUAGGUGGUUGAAAAAGUUAGUGGUGAAAUCCCAAGGCUUAACCUUGGAACUGCCAUUAAAACUUUUUAACUAGAGUAUGAUAGAGGUAAGCGGAAUUUCUAGUGUAGAGGUGAAAUUCGUAGAUAUUAGAAAGAACACCAAUUGCGAAGGCAGCUUUCUGGAUCAUUACUGACACUGAGGAGCGAAAGCAUGGGUAGCGAAGAGGAUUAGAUACCCUCGUAGUCCAUGCCGUAAACGAUGUGUGCUA